CGAUGUUCUGCCAAAAUCUUUCCUCUGCAUCACAACAGACAAGUAAUAGCCCUUAUGCACAUUCCAUGAUCUGCCAAAAUCUUUCCUCUGCAUCACAACAGACAAAUGGUGUUAAAGCACUCCGAACCAGUGAUAGUGGUCCAAAGCCACUGCUCCUGUGUUGCAGGAAGUGCUCUGUUCAAUCAUCUGGUGGCCCUUCUUUACCAGACAGCGCACUACUCUCAGCUAAACAUUCCUGCUGCACCACCAGUUCACAGCUGCACAGACACAGAACAGCGUUGGCACAAGCCAAGAACACUUGGUGUGAAACCAGGUCCGGUUGAUGGGAUAGAGUUCCGUAAACCUACUAACUCGUGUGCUGAUGGAAUAAGAAGUUCUCUCUACAAAACACUCAAUGGAUACAUGCCUGACAUGGACCUUCUCCGCCUCCCAGAAACGUAUGCCAACUUUUCUCCACUUACUGCCCCGCUUGUGACAACAAUGGAAAUGUCAGCUGACGUGCCCCUGGUUGAGUCUGCCUUUGGGCCAGUGCAAGCCGGCAGUGUUCUGUCCUAUCAGCUUCCACAGCCAAAGACCCGUGAAAUUGUGAAGAUUGCCGAUGCCACUUCUCCACCAAUACUUCCAUUAGAUGGCUACAGGCUUCAGGCUUCCCAGUGUGCUUACGUCCUUAGCCAUCAGGAGCAGUUCCACCUCAAGGCAUUAGAGACAACCUACGAGAUGUCACACAAAGUCGAGGUUGCUACAAGGGAGCAGAGCAGCAUCCCGGAAUGGCAUCAGCUCAGGAAAAUGAGAAUUACAUCCUCUCGUUUCCGAGAGGUUUGCCAUGUCCGGGGAUAGACCUCAGCUGACCACCUAGCUGAGCGGAUGUUCAAGGGAUCUGGUAUGCAGACCAUGGAGAUGAAGAGGGGGCUGGUCAUGGAGCCAGAGGCUGUACAGGAGUACUGCACACUGAAGAAUGUUAACUUCUUUCCGUGUGGCUUCGUAGUGCACCCAGAUGCUCCGUGGUUAGGAUCCUCUCCAGAUGGAAUGAUAUUUGAUCACAGUGUGAGACCACACUUUGGACUCUUAGAGGUCAAGUGCCCAAAUGUACCAAGUUAUGUUGACUGCUCUUAUCUGAAGAUACAGAAUGGAGAGCUGAAGUUGAAGAGAUCUCAUGCGUACUACUGGCAGGUGCAAGGUCAAAUCCUUCUCACAGGUUGUAGCUGGUGUGACUUUGUCAUCUGUGCACAGGAGGACAUCCUAGUUGAAAGGAUAUAUACAGAUCUACAGUUUUCAAAAACUAUAAGAGAGAAGGUUGACCACUUUUAUUUUUACCACUACUUGCAGAAGUGUCUAUCUCGCACCUGAAUGGAUGCCCUGCAUGGGUGCUAAGUUUAGUGGUUUUAUGAAAAAUAACUAUUGAUGUUCUUGUGAAGAAAUCUACAGUAGAAUAGAUUUGUUUAAAAAAAAUGUAUUUCAGCAAAUGUUCAACAGUUCAAUUAAUCAAUUACACAUCUCUAACAUUGUAUUCAAUCUUGCAUUCUGGCUAUUCUGUGUUUACUUGAUUUCUUUCUCCCACCCCUGUUACUCAUUGCCUAAUUAAAGCCAAUACAAGCU
RNAcentral lists this long non-coding RNA (1596 nucleotides) under Salmo salar (Atlantic salmon). RNAcentral describes it as "lncRNA (ENSSSAG00000098671.1)". The record is from RNAcentral. Lineage: Eukaryota; Metazoa; Chordata; Actinopteri; Salmoniformes; Salmonidae.